RNAcentral lists this ribosomal RNA (250 nucleotides) under uncultured bacterium. RNAcentral's name for it is "partial 16S ribosomal RNA". It matches the Rfam family "Bacterial small subunit ribosomal RNA", at positions 524 to 773 of the family's 1533-position model. The record is from RNAcentral.
UACAGAGGUGGCAAGCGUUGUUCGGAAUUACUGGGCGUAAAGGGCGCGUAGGCGGUUCACUAAGUCCUGCGUGAAAUCCCCCGGCUCAACCGGGGAACUGCGCGGGAAACUGGCGGGCUUGAGUUCGGGAGAGGGAAGCGGAAUUCCGGGUGUAGCGGUGAAAUGCGUAGAUAUCCGGAGGAACACCGGUGGCGAAGGCGGCUUCCUGGACCGACACUGACGCUGAGGCGCGAAAGCUAGGGGAGCAAAC